CCUCAAUCCUCAGUCCUCCCUGCUUCCUCUUUCCCUUUCCCUACUAUUUCCUUUCUUUUUUGUUCCUUUUUACUUUUGUUCUUUGGGAUUCUCUCCGACCUUGCUCUCCUCAGAAAUCACUUCUCAAUCUCUUCCCAAAAAUCUCUUCUCACGAAAUUUAUGGGCGAGGAGAGAGACAAGAAGAAUCAGAGAUAUUCAUCAGGUAUCAUCCAUGGGAGACGAAAGGGUCAAAACAGAAGCAUGGCAAGAUAUAAAAUUUCCAAGUUCUUCCCAAAUUGGUUGUCUUUGAUCUCGAUUAUACUAUCUGACCUUUCUACUGACUUCACAAUAGGCUGAAGAUGCAUUGUCUCAGAAUGGAGCAACAACAACAGUCACUGGCAGAAGCUUUGUCGAGUGGUUCUCUUGGUUCAUCGGGUUCUUAUAGAAAUGUUGCACAUGAUAUGGGUCAAAUGGCUAAAGCUCGAUACGCUCGAAGGGUUUAUUUGCCAGGUAAAUUUCUAUUCAAGUUGGAAUUUUAUGUUUUGCUUAUAGUAGUACGGAGUAGUUAUUUAUUGCAAAUUGAACUGUCCAAAUCAACCUUUUCCCGCGGUGUGUGGUAUGUGGUGUUGUAUAUGUUGAAUGAAGGGUGGAGGGCGUUGGGAGAGCUAAAAUAUUUUAUUGGAGGCGCCUAUAAAAUGCCGAUUUCUGAACAAUAUAAUUGUCGUUUAAAUAAGUUAUACGGAGUAUAAGUGACGAGGAGAUGAAUAUUAUAAAGAUUAAUAACAAGUAGGUUUCUAAUUUUCUCAUAAGAAAUAUGGUUGGAGGUUUUAUUACUAUAAAAAACAUGUAGAAAGGCCGAAAUCUAAACAAAGUAAAUUAUUAGAAAAUGAAAUACUAACCGUUGUGAGAAAAGUAGAAAAUCUCUUGUUUAAUAGGAAAAUAACUUAAAUACGCGAAAUGCAUACUAUCCUGCUAAUCCGAUUCUUAGCCUACCUCAAAUAUUCCUUGACAUUAUUCCUUUCUUGAGCUAACUUAUUGACCUUGCACCCGGUUUUCCUUUCUUGAGUUAAAUCACUGACCUUGCACCCGGUUUGAUUAAGAGGCUAAGAAAUGUAGCUAAUUCAACGUUGGUUGACCAUAUGUUGUUGAUUUUUUCCUUGAAAACGCCAUGGGAAGGACCGCAGGAGGGAGUGACGGAAAUCUAUACUCACUUUCCAUGAUAAUGCACCAAAAUUCUUAUUCAAGUUUCAAUACUGUUGAUUUCUGUAUCAACUUGAGUAUCUUAAAAUCACAGUGCUUGUAAGGAUUUGCAGCUUACUGGUCAGUUGCUAGAAAAUUCUGUUUAUCUGAAUUACUCGUGAAGAUUGAUUAACGCUAUAGUAACCGUGAACUAAAUACCUGUAUAGUUAUGAGAUGUUCAACUUAAAUUAUCUCCAAUGCGUAGAUUUGUUGGCAAGCUUAUUUGACAUAGAAAUUGCAUUUACAUGAGAUUCACUAUAUUUUUACGACUUCAUUGAAUGUUAUUGCUACUGCCUCGCUGGAACUUUAGUUCAUAUUUAGAAGUUGCUGGAUAUGAGGUUAUCCGAGUCAUGGAAUCAUCGCUGACUCACUACUUCAACAACUACUUUGCCUUUUAUAAUAAACAAUGAAGCAGAGAAUAGUUAUACUGAGUCUCCAAAGACCAGGGAUAACCCUGUGACAGACAAUGCAAACAAAGUUGGUUGUUUCAGCAACCCAUGGAUGAUGGUAAUCAAGAAUUAUGCAAGAGAAUAAGAGUAUUUCGGAAAACGUUGCAACAGGUUCAGGUUCUUGAGGUGAAACAAUCCAAGGGGCAUGUUCUAUAUCUUGACGACCAGUAGAUUGCAAAGAUGUAAACAAAACUUGCUUCAGAGACUUCACUUGAAGAGCUGGAUGUUCCAGCUCAGACAACAAUUUCAAAGCCAUCACCCUUAGUGCGGAGAUGAAAAAAAUCAUAGGAGGAAUAAUGAGGGGAAGGUAAUCUUUCUGAUUCAUCCUUUAUGAAUAUGUGCUCUUUGCUGGUAAAUGGAGAUAUACCUUCUAUAGUGUCUGUCACGAGAUUUAUUUCUAAUAAGUGGAACAAUGUGAAAUUUUUGGCUUUUAGAAAUCUUUGCGGGGUAAACCUUAUGUUUAUCUACAUGAUUUUUAUUUUUUCAUGAGGUUUUAAUGACAAUAAUGAGUAUGUUGGACCUCAUUAUUUUAAUGGAAGACCAAUGAUUGUUAAAGGAGUAAUCAACCAAUUUGUACUGCCAUGACGAGGUGUUGAGGGUUAUUGUUCUAUGGAUAAGACUAGCUUCCAAACUUGCAUUUAAAUGGCUGGAAUGUAGAUUCACUAAGCCCGAGACCUUUAAUUGCAGAUAACUGCACAUCAACGCAAAUGAAUUUGUCUUUCUAGUAUGUUGAUUUAGAUGAACAAGCUUAUGAUUCGUCUCCACCAUUUUUCUAGCAAUGUCCCAUAAUGGGCCACGUUUUCCAGGUUGCAAAAGGCUUCAGAUUGAAGUUUUUAUAUCUUGUACUACCGACUUUUCAACUAUGAGUUUUUUUUUAUUGACGACAUGACCUAAGUAUCAUUUGUAUUCAUAUUUAUCCCCAACUUCAUGUUUGGUCAAUGACAAUAUGUUUACGUUUUCCAUAAAGUUAGACCGGUCUUUUACGUAAGCAUGUUUACUAUGACAUAUUUUUAUACAUUAGCGCACGGGCCAACAACUAGUUUUUUUCAAAAUGCCAAAAUAUUUUUGAUCAAUUCUUUCUAAUUUGGAUGAUGUUUAAUUUGCACUAUUUAGACAUCAGUCGAGGCUUGAUGUGUCAUGUUUUUUUAGAAUUUUUUUGAUACAAACAAUACAAAUUCUUAGUUGCAUCAUAUAGAUGUGCCCUAUCUGUAACAACGAUUAAUUAUGAUAAUCAUACUCUACACCCUCAUAGACUAUUUUUUUUUUGGACACAGGAUUAAUAAAAACAACAAAAAAAGAAACUAAUUAGGCUCCAAAGGGUGCAUCGCAAAAUUGACGUUGUUCUCUACCCCUGGUUUAAACACAAGGAAGCUUGAUGGAAGUGAGGUCGCUCCACUUUAUAGUUGACACAUCUGUAGAACUAUUUACCUAGAUGGAGAAUUUUAGAAAGCGUCCACGUCUGGCGGAUAUCAGAACUCCCCCCUUGCCGCAAAUAGGAUGAGACCGACAUGGCGACAUGCGUUAAUAGAAAGUGACAAAGCACAAUUCAUUCCAUAUCAACAAGCAAAAGCCUCAUCAUGUGCUGCAGAAAGUGUCACAUACACAACCAUGGUUGUUAAAAUCGUGAUUCUAAACAUGGUCUUACGAUUCGAUUUACGAUUCUACAUGAUUCUACACUUUUUCUUGACUGAUUAAAUCCUUGUAAAUUUGAAACAUGACGAAAAAGCUACUAAUAGAUAAAUAUUGUUAAUAUUUCUUAUUAGCUAGUAAACAAAUAUAUAUUUCAAUUAUUAAGUUUUUCACCUAUAAUAUAAGCACUUUAAUAAAAUUGAAAAUAAAAUCUUGAUUAUACUUGUUUGUAGAAGAUUCUACGAUUCGACUUUACGAUUCGAUUCUAAGAGUCCCUUCUGAUUCAAAGUAGAAUCCCGAUUUUGACAACCUUGCUCACAACACCACCUCCGAAAUCAUAUUCCAUAUUCUCCACAGCCAAUGGAAUUGCCCAUCCCAUUCCUGCCCUUUGACAAGCUUUCUUCCAUGUUGUUUGGGCUUUUGCUAGGUGAGGAUGAUUCAGACUUCCACCCCCUUCCCCUCUUCUAUCCCUUUGGCUAGGGGAGGGUGAUACGUACUUCCAUUUCCUUAGUUCAAAGUUCAAACUA
Long non-coding RNA from Spinacia oleracea (spinach), 3823 nucleotides. RefSeq lists it as uncharacterized. The transcript has 3 exons. Lineage: Eukaryota; Viridiplantae; Streptophyta; Magnoliopsida; Caryophyllales; Amaranthaceae. The record is from RefSeq and is a predicted model, not a curated record.